GCCGUGUGUCGCGAGCGCAGUCACUGUGGAGGAGAGAGCGCGAGGCUGCGAUGUGAGAGAAACCUGAGGAGAAAAUAACGACAUUUUCGUGAAUGUUUUCUUACUUUUUCGCUCCAGUCGGGACAAAAAAGUACAAACGGGGCGUGAAAGAGUGCUGGACUCACCCAGAACAAGUUGAGUGAGUUGGAAAUGGCGAGUAGGUGGAGAGAGAGACAGAGAAUCUUCCGUUAAACUCUGAGUAUUUGACGGCUUUGAGGAAUUUGUGUGAAGAAACGGUUUAUUUGAGCUCGUUGUGUAAACAGGCAGGGAAGGUGCCUGGAUGAGUGAGAGACACUGGUGGAUUCAUUUACCGUGGAAAAAAAUCAUCCAGCUCUGACUUUGACCGUAUAGACGGGACGGGAGCGAGGCUAACCUACGUCGACGGCAUUAAACAUUUUUACGAGUUGCCGGGAUGUUAUAAAAGCCUGGUCGUUUCUGCGGGACAGCAGGACUGAGAGAAGAAGGUCGAGAGCCGGGAAUCGGAGGAUAUUAUGGCUCUCUCAGCGGUCUCCCUCUGUUUCAUCGUCCUCGCCUCCGCUAACUUGCACCUGAGCCACGGGAAUAACCGCCAUGCCGUCUACUGGAACAGCUCAAACAUUCAACGCUGCGCAGCAUCUCGAGAGCUGAUUGUCAUUGACUGGAGAAAGCAACAAUAGCUACAUUACAGCAUCUCCAGCCUUCUUCACCACCAUUACCACACAAUUCAUACAUGAGCCAAGGUUGCUGAAUUCAGCUCGCUAUUAAAGGUUUCUCAGCAGAAGCCUCGUUGGAGUGUUAGACAGACAGCCAGGCUUGUUUAUGGGCUCUGUUAGGUUGUUUGCAGCCGGCUGUCCGUGCUUUUAAAACACCCUCUGGUAAAUAACUAUGGAGGAUUCUGAUUGCUGCCUAUUGAGCAACUUGCUGAUUCACCAACAGUAAAAUUGUAAAGACCUAGAAAUGUGUGUAAAUGUCUUUAUCACAACACUCACAGCUGCUACCAGUUUGAGUGUCAGUGCCCUGGGAUUUUACAUGUGAAUAGAAUGAGUGGAAAUGCAAUUAAGACUAUAAAAAAUACCAUUAUUUGAUUGUUAUAGUAAUUAUAAUUACUAAAGGGUAUUUAAAGGGCCCAAUUUUUUUAUUUCUCUUGUAUCUAUUCCUUUUAGUUCAAUUUAUGAUGUCUGUGCUUACAGUAGCAUGCAAAAUUAUGUUAUGUUACAUAAUUGGCAGUUUCAAAACAGCA
This 1258-nucleotide long non-coding RNA is filed under the name Astyanax mexicanus (Mexican tetra). RNAcentral describes it as "lncRNA (ENSAMXG00005025447.1)". Lineage: Eukaryota; Metazoa; Chordata; Actinopteri; Characiformes; Acestrorhamphidae. The record is from RNAcentral.